RNAcentral lists this ribosomal RNA (450 nucleotides) under uncultured bacterium. Its description in RNAcentral is "bacterial SSU rRNA". It matches the Rfam family "Bacterial small subunit ribosomal RNA", at positions 354 to 796 of the family's 1533-position model. The record is from RNAcentral.
GUGGGGAAUAUUGGACAAUGGGCGAAAGCCUGAUCCAGCCAUGCCGCGUGUGUGAAGAAGGUCUUCGGAUUGUAAAGCACUUUAAGUUGGGAGGAAGGGUAGUAACCUAAUACGUUGCUACUUUGACGUUACCGACAGAAUAAGCACCGGCUAACUUCGUGCCAGCAGCCGCGGUAAUACGAAGGGUGCAAGCGUUAAUCGGAAUUACUGGGCGUAAAGCGCGCGUAGGUGGUUCAGUAAGUUGGAAGUGAAAUCCCCGGGCUCAACCUGGGAACUGCUUUCAAAACUGCUGAGCUAGAGUACGGUAGAGGGUGGUGGAAUUUCCUGUGUAGCGGUGAAAUGCGUAGAUAUAGGAAGGAACACCAGUGGCGAAGGCGACCACCUGGACUGAUACUGACACUGAGGUGCGAAAGCGUGGGGAGCAAACAGGAUUAGAAACCCUUGUAGUCC